UGCUGCAUCCCUUCCUACGACACGACUGGCAGAGAGGACAGAUGGCGAGGGGCCGUGGGAAAAUCCCUUGAGCAGAUUUCCCAUCCCAAGAUUCCUCCUUGGUUCACGACAGGAGGUGCCAUCAUCGUCAUUUUCGCCGUCUCAGCACCCAGAAGUUUGCUGGCGAUACAGACGAAACAUCAAUAAUACCAACUCUGCCUACGCUAACCCUGGUUGACUCACACCCAGGCUAGUGUUUAGGUUGUUUGGAAAAUGAGAAAACAGGUCAUAUGGAAUUGAUAGAACGAUGAGUAGGGAAAUCUUCCGAAGCCUCUUCAUCAUCAGAGUCUUCCAUGCUUCCUCCAUCGGAUGGGCUGAAGAUGCACUCCAAAGGACUUGGAAUUUGGAAAACUACAAGAGUCCUGCUUCAAAGGAGUUCACAAUCUAAUAGAAGAAAUAGGGAGAUGGAAAUUAUAAGCAUUCAGUGGAAGAAGAAAGUAGAAAGCUUUAUUAGUAAGGUGUACGGAAAAAAUGAAAUCAGUGAUAAACUAUAUGGCGUUUGGAGCAUUGAUCU
Ornithorhynchus anatinus (platypus) is the source of this 553-nucleotide long non-coding RNA. RefSeq lists it as uncharacterized. The transcript has 3 exons. The record is from RefSeq and is a predicted model, not a curated record. Lineage: Eukaryota; Metazoa; Chordata; Mammalia; Monotremata; Ornithorhynchidae.